This 323-nucleotide unclassified non-coding RNA is filed under the name soil metagenome. RNAcentral's name for it is "partial contains 5.8S ribosomal RNA, internal transcribed spacer 2, and large subunit ribosomal RNA". The stretch from base 1 to 120 matches the Rfam family "5.8S ribosomal RNA", at positions 35 to 154 of the family's 154-position model. The record is from RNAcentral.
GAUGAAGAACGUAGCGAAAUGCGAUAAGUAAUGCGAAUUGCAGAAUUCAGUGAGUCAUCGAAUCUUUGAACGCACAUUGCGCCCUGUGGUAUUCCGCAGGGCAUGCCUGUUCGAGCGUCAUUUCAACCCUCAAGCUCUGCUUGGCGUUGGGCCCUGCCCGCUGCGGCCGGCCCUAAAGACAGUGGCGGUGCCGCCUGGCCCUGAGCGUAGUACAUCUCUCGCUCCAGUGCCCGGUGGUAGCCUGCCAGAACCCCAACUCUCGUGGUUGACCUCGGAUCAGGUAGGGAUACCCGCUGAACUUAAGCAUAUCAAUAAGCGGAGGA